This 380-nucleotide ribosomal RNA is filed under the name uncultured bacterium. RNAcentral describes it as "bacterial SSU rRNA". It matches the Rfam family "Bacterial small subunit ribosomal RNA", at positions 29 to 400 of the family's 1533-position model. The record is from RNAcentral.
AACGAACGCUGGCGGCGCGCCUAAUACAUGCAAGUCGAGCGAGAAGACGUAGCAAUACGUUUGUAAAGCGGCGAACGGGUGAGGAAUACAUGGGUAACCUACCCUCGAGUGGGGAAUAACUAGCCGAAAGGUUAGCUAAUACCGCGUACGCUUCUUGGACUUCGGUUCAGGGAGGAAAGCGAUACCGUGGGUAUCGCGCUCUUGGAUGGGCUCAUGUCCUAUCAGCUUGUUGGGAGGUAACGGCUCACCAAGGCUUCGACGGGUAGCUGGUCUGAGAGGACGAUCAGCCACACUGGCACUGCGACACGGGCCAGACUCCUACGGGAGGCAGCAGUAAGGAAUAUUGCGCAAUGGGCGAAAGCCUGACGCAGCGACGCCGC